UCCCUGGUGGUUCAGUGGUUAGGACUCCAAGCUUACACUUUAGGGGCACAGAUUUGACCCCUGGUCAGGGAA
RNAcentral lists this transfer RNA (72 nucleotides) under Bos taurus (domestic cattle). It matches the Rfam family "tRNA". From Rfam's summary of the family: Transfer RNA (tRNA) molecules are approximately 80 nucleotides in length. Their secondary structure includes four short double-helical elements and three loops (D, anti-codon, and T loops). Lineage: Eukaryota; Metazoa; Chordata; Mammalia; Artiodactyla; Bovidae. RNAcentral also lists the same sequence under 1 other name. The record is from Rfam by way of RNAcentral.